Molecule: unclassified non-coding RNA, 288 nt
Filed under: uncultured fungus
Lineage: Eukaryota; Fungi
Description: partial contains 5.8S rRNA and ITS2
Rfam family: 5.8S ribosomal RNA (bases 1-52)
Source: RNAcentral
AACGCAUCUUGCGCUCCAUGGUAUUCCGUGGAGCAUGCCUGUUCGAGUGUCACGUCAACCUCACCGCUUGCGAUGUCAAAGUCGCUCGAGGUGGAUUUGGACCGUGCCGCGUCUCGCGGCUCGUCUUGAAAUGCAUUAGCUUGCGCUUUUUAGAGUGCUCGGCACCGGUGUGAUAAUUAUCUGCGCCAACGCCUCAGGCCUCUUCAGUAGUGCUGCUUACAGUCGUCCCGACGGACAAUUAUACCAAGCUUUGGCCUCGAAUCAGGUAGGACUACCCGCUGAACUUAA